This 253-nucleotide ribosomal RNA is filed under the name uncultured bacterium. Its description in RNAcentral is "partial 16S ribosomal RNA". It matches the Rfam family "Bacterial small subunit ribosomal RNA", at positions 524 to 776 of the family's 1533-position model. The record is from RNAcentral.
UACGGGGGGGGUAAGCGUUGUUCGGAAUUACUGGGCGUAAAGAGCGUGUAGGCGGCCUGACAAGUCUGCUGUGAAAACUCGAGGCUCAACCUCGAGAUGUCGGCGGAAACUGUCUGGCUAGAGUCCGGGAGAGGGAAGCGGAAUUCCGGGUGUAGCGGUGAAAUGCGUAGAUAUCAGGAGGAACACCGGUGGUGUAGACGGCUUUCUGGACCGUAACUGACGCUGAGACACGAAAGCGUGGGUAGCAAACAGG